CAUCAGUGUGAAACACCGAUUCCCGUACCAAGACCGAAGUUAAGCAACAUUGAACCUGGUCAGUACCUAGAUGGGUGACCGCUUGGGAAUACCAGUUGCUGUAAG
Non-coding RNA from Acanthosepion pharaonis, 105 nucleotides. Lineage: Eukaryota; Metazoa; Mollusca; Cephalopoda; Sepiida; Sepiidae. The record is from the annotation of a GenBank genome assembly.